CCAGACUCCUACGGGAGGCAGCAGUAGGGAAUUUUCGUCAAUGGGCGCAAGCCUGACCCAGCAACGCCGCGUGAAGGAAGAAGGCUUUCGGGUUGUAAACUUCUUUUCUCAGGGACGAAGCAAGUGACGGUACCUGAGGAAUAAGCCACGGCUAACUACGUGCCAGCAGCCGCGGUAAUACGUAGGUGGCAAGCGUUAUCCGGAUUUACUGGGUGUAAAGGGCGUGUAGGCGGGACUGCAAGUCAGAUGUGAAAACCACGGGCUCAACCUGUGGCCUGCAUUUGAAACUGUAGUUCUUGAGUACUGGAGAGGCAGACGGAAUUCCUAGUGUAGCGGUGAAAUGCGUAGAUAUUAGGAGGAACACCAGUGGCGAAGGCGGUCUGCUGGACAGCAACUGACGCUGAGGCGCGAAAGCGUGGGGAGCAAACAGGAUUAGAUACCCUUGUA
This 447-nucleotide ribosomal RNA is filed under the name uncultured bacterium. RNAcentral describes it as "bacterial SSU rRNA". It matches the Rfam family "Bacterial small subunit ribosomal RNA", at positions 331 to 792 of the family's 1533-position model. The record is from RNAcentral.